CCUCUCGUGGCUUAAUGGUCAGAGCACUGGUGCGUAAAGCCAGAGGUCCCGGGUUCGUUUCCCGGCGACGGCG
Non-coding RNA from Agrilus planipennis (emerald ash borer), 73 nucleotides. The record is from Rfam. NCBI's taxonomy places the organism in Eukaryota, Metazoa, Arthropoda, Insecta, Coleoptera, Buprestidae.